GGUCCCGAUCCUCCCACCCUUUGUGUACCUACCUCUGUUGCUUUGGCGGGCCGCGGUCCUCCGCGGCCGCCCCCCUCCCCGGGGGGUGGCCAGCGCCCGCCAGAGGACCAUCAAACUCCAGUCAGUAAACGAUGCAGUCUGAAAAACAUUUAAUAAACUAAAACUUUCAACAACGGAUCUCUUGGUUCUGGCAUCGAUGAAGAACGCAGCGAAAUGCGAUAAGUAAUGUGAAUUGCAGAAUUCAGUGAAUCAUCGAAUCUUUGAACGCACAUUGCGCCCUUUGGUAUUCCGAAGGGCAUGCCUGUUCGAGCGUCAUUACAACCCUCAAGCUCUGCUUGGUAUUGGGCACCGUCCUUUGCGGGCGCGCCUCAAAGACCUCGGCGGUGGCGUCUUGCCUCAAGCGUAGUAGAACAUACAUCUCGCUUCGGAGCGCAGGGCGUCGCCCGCCGGACGAACCUUCUGAACUUUUCUCAAGGUUGACCUCGGAUCAGGUAGGGAUACCCGCUGAACUUAAGCAUAUCAAUAAGCGGAGGAA
This 535-nucleotide ribosomal RNA is filed under the name Botryosphaeria dothidea. Its description in RNAcentral is "eukaryotic LSU rRNA". The stretch from base 162 to 315 matches the Rfam family "5.8S ribosomal RNA". Lineage: Eukaryota; Fungi; Ascomycota; Dothideomycetes; Botryosphaeriales; Botryosphaeriaceae. The record is from RNAcentral.